Molecule: ribosomal RNA, 338 nt
Filed under: Fryerius sp. Com
Lineage: Eukaryota; Metazoa; Arthropoda; Insecta; Orthoptera; Gryllidae
Description: partial 12S ribosomal RNA
Source: RNAcentral
GAACUUAAAGAAUUUGGCGGUGUUUUAGUCUUUCCAGAGGAACUUGUUUUGUAAUUGAAAGUACACGAUUGGUUUUACUUUAAUUAGUUGUUUGUAUAUCGCCGUCGUAAGAAUAUUUUUAUGAGAAUUAAAAUUUUCUUGUUUUGUAAAUUGUAAAGUAAGUCAGGUCAAGGUGCAGCUUAUAUUUAAGGGGAAAUGAGUUACAAUAAAGUUAAUUAAACGGAUGUAGAAUUUAAAUGUUUUAUUGAAGGUGGAUUUGGUUGUAAAUUUAAAUAAUAAUUAUUUUGAUUUGAGCUCUAGAAUGUGUACAUAUCGCCCGUCGCUCUCAUUAAUAUGAG